Molecule: non-coding RNA, 107 nt
Organism: Gossypium hirsutum (cotton)
Lineage: Eukaryota; Viridiplantae; Streptophyta; Magnoliopsida; Malvales; Malvaceae
Source: Rfam
AACCCAUGGUGAGGGCACCUUCUCAAUAAAUCCUUGUAUCUGUCCCAUGCAUCAUAAAGUUUUUCUAAAUCCAUUUGCACAAAAGAAGAGAUAUCAUUCCUCAACUU